UGGCCGUGAUCACCCAUCCUCUAUGAUUAUCGUCCGGGUUUAGUUCUUAGGAACUGCUACAAUAUACCUGCUGUUGUAGAAAUUUGAUUUCUGUUUUAUGUACAAGUUAGUUUUCAUAAAGACUACUAUAUCAUUUAUUUUGAAAAUAAAAUAAUUGGAUGUGGCUUUAUGAUUAACAGUCUCCAUCAUUUAUAUGUUGAUGUGAAUA
RNAcentral lists this long non-coding RNA (208 nucleotides) under Elaeis guineensis (African oil palm). Its description in RNAcentral is "long non-coding RNA (EGUI_LNC035168)". Lineage: Eukaryota; Viridiplantae; Streptophyta; Magnoliopsida; Arecales; Arecaceae. The record is from RNAcentral.